AUAUUAGUGAGUAAUUGAUUAUAUUAACAACUCUCUAUUGUGCCAUCAAUACUAACAAUCCGACAAUGAAGGAAUUUAUAUAACGACUUACAAUGGCCUUACAAGAGGCACAAUACCACCUCUUUAUUGCAUAAAAUUGACAAAAGUAGUAUGUGGAUAACCAUUGGUAAUACAAGACCUUUAAAAAUGGUGAUUAGGUAUUGCUCUCUAAUGUUGUCGUAUUAUAUGGCAUUUGGCUUGAGAAUGCAUUAGGUACUUUGUUGUGGAAGAUAAAAGAAAAAUUACAACAAUAUGUCCUAAAAACUCUAAUAGAUUCUUAAAUAAAUUAUAAUUAAAAAUUAGCAAAUAUAAUCAAACAUUAAUCAAAUUCAAUUUAAAUUUCAAAGAAAUUAUAUAAGAAACACAAUGAAUUCCUAGAGAUCUUUUAAAAAAAUCAUAAAAGAAUAAUAUAGAAAUUCAAAAAAAAUAUUAAAAUAAAAUUUUUAAUAAAAUAUUAAAAUAAAAACCUUAAUUAGAUUUCAGUCAAAUCUAAUCAAAUCUUUGUCAAACUUUAGUCAAAUCCUUGUCAAAUCUUAGUCAAUUCCCAAAUAAAUCUUAACUAAAUCCUAAACAAAUCCUAGUGAAAUCCUAAUCAAAUUCUAAUCAAAUCUUAAAUAAAUCUUAACUAAAUUCUAAUCAAAUCUUAAAUAAAUCCUAAUCAAAUCUUAAUAAAAUCCUACUCAAAUCCUAGUCAAACUCUAAUCAAAUCUUAAUCAAAAUCUAAUCAAAUCCUAAACAAAUCUUAAUAAAAUCCUAAUAAAAUCCUAGAUAAAUCUUGAAUAAGUCCCAACUAAAUCCUAGACAAAUCCUAGUCAAACUCUAGUGAAAUUCUAAUAAAAUCUUAAACAAAUUCUAACCAUAUUCCAAAUAAAUCCUAGUCAAACCCUAGACAAAUCCUAAAUAAGUCCUAACCAAAUUCUAAACAAAUCCUAAUCAAAUCCUAACCUAAACCAAAUCCUAAUCCUAACCAAACUUUAAAUCAAAUCGAAAAUUCUAAUUGAAAUCUUAAAUCAAAUUCU
RNAcentral lists this long non-coding RNA (1058 nucleotides) under Physcomitrium patens. RNAcentral's name for it is "long non-coding RNA (PPAT_LNC001919)". Lineage: Eukaryota; Viridiplantae; Streptophyta; Bryopsida; Funariales; Funariaceae. The record is from RNAcentral.